This 292-nucleotide ribosomal RNA is filed under the name uncultured bacterium. RNAcentral describes it as "partial 16S ribosomal RNA". It matches the Rfam family "Bacterial small subunit ribosomal RNA", at positions 505 to 796 of the family's 1533-position model. The record is from RNAcentral.
GUGCCAGCCGCCGCGGUAAUACGGAGGGUGCAAGCGUUAAUCGGAAUUACUGGGCGUAAAGCGCGCGUAGGUGGUUUGGUAAGCGAGAUGUGAAAGCCCCGGGCUUAACCUGGGAACGGCAUUUCGAACUGUCAGGCUAGAGUAUGGUAGAGGGUAGUGGAAUUUCCUGUGUAGCGGUGAAAUGCGUAGAUAUAGGAAGGAACACCAGUGGCGAAGGCGGCUACCUGGACCAAUACUGACACUGAGGUGCGAAAGCGGGGGGAGCGAACAGGAUUAGAUACCCCAGUAGUCC